This 204-nucleotide non-coding RNA is filed under the name human gut metagenome. RNAcentral describes it as "Lysine riboswitch". It matches the Rfam family "Lysine riboswitch aptamer". Rfam says of the family: Riboswitches are metabolite binding domains within certain messenger RNAs that serve as precision sensors for their corresponding targets. Allosteric rearrangement of mRNA structure is mediated by ligand binding, and this results in modulation of gene expression. The record is from RNAcentral.
AGAGAUAGAGGCGCAGGGCUUAAAAGUAGCUCUUGUUCGAUCCCGAGCGAACGGGGAACGAGAAUGAAAGGAAGUCUUGCCGAAAUCGUCGCGCUUUCGUUGGCGCGGUCGGUUGGGCGUCGGUAAAAUAUAUCGGCGACUGUCGCUUAUUUCAGUCGGUUCGGAUAGUUAAACAUCCGGUCGAUCGGGCGGAGAGCUAUCGUG